This 1393-nucleotide ribosomal RNA is filed under the name Enterococcus durans. RNAcentral describes it as "bacterial SSU rRNA". It matches the Rfam family "Bacterial small subunit ribosomal RNA", at positions 68 to 1434 of the family's 1533-position model. The record is from RNAcentral. Lineage: Bacteria; Bacillati; Bacillota; Bacilli; Lactobacillales; Enterococcaceae.
GCUUCUUUUUCCCCGGAGCUUGCUCCACCGGAAAAAGAAGAGUGGCGAACGGGUGAGUAACACGUGGGUAACCUGCCCAUCAGAAGGGGAUAACACUUGGAAACAGGUGCUAAUACCGUAUAACAAUCGAAACCGCAUGGUUUUGAUUUGAAAGGCGCUUUCGGGUGUCGCUGAUGGAUGGACCCGCGGUGCAUUAGCUAGUUGGUGAGGUAACGGCUCACCAAGGCCACGAUGCAUAGCCGACCUGAGAGGGUGAUCGGCCACAUUGGGACUGAGACACGGCCCAAACUCCUACGGGAGGCAGCAGUAGGGAAUCUUCGGCAAUGGACGAAAGUCUGACCGAGCAACGCCGCGUGAGUGAAGAAGGUUUUCGGAUCGUAAAACUCUGUUGUUAGAGAAGAACAAGGAUGAGAGUAACUGUUCAUCCCUUGACGGUAUCUAACCAGAAAGCCACGGCUAACUACGUGCCAGCAGCCGCGGUAAUACGUAGGUGGCAAGCGUUGUCCGGAUUUAUUGGGCGUAAAGCGAGCGCAGGCGGUUUCUUAAGUCUGAUGUGAAAGCCCCCGGCUCAACCGGGGAGGGUCAUUGGAAACUGGGAGACUUGAGUGCAGAAGAGGAGAGUGGAAUUCCAUGUGUAGCGGUGAAAUGCGUAGAUAUAUGGAGGAACACCAGUGGCGAAGGCGGCUCUCUGGUCUGUAACUGACGCUGAGGCUCGAAAGCGUGGGGAGCAAACAGGAUUAGAUACCCUGGUAGUCCACGCCGUAAACGAUGAGUGCUAAGUGUUGGAGGGUUUCCGCCCUUCAGUGCUGCAGCUAACGCAUUAAGCACUCCGCCUGGGGAGUACGACCGCAAGGUUGAAACUCAAAGGAAUUGACGGGGGCCCGCACAAGCGGUGGAGCAUGUGGUUUAAUUCGAAGCAACGCGAAGAACCUUACCAGGUCUUGACAUCCUUUGACCACUCUAGAGAUAGAGCUUCCCCUUCGGGGGCAAAGUGACAGGUGGUGCAUGGUUGUCGUCAGCUCGUGUCGUGAGAUGUUGGGUUAAGUCCCGCAACGAGCGCAACCCUUAUUGUUAGUUGCCAUCAUUUAGUUGGGCACUCUAGCAAGACUGCCGGUGACAAACCGGAGGAAGGUGGGGAUGACGUCAAAUCAUCAUGCCCCUUAUGACCUGGGCUACACACGUGCUACAAUGGGAAGUACAACGAGUCGCGAAGUCGCGAGGCUAAGCUAAUCUCUUAAAGCUUCUCUCAGUUCGGAUUGUAGGCUGCAACUCGCCUACAUGAAGCCGGAAUCGCUAGUAAUCGCGGAUCAGCACGCCGCGGUGAAUACGUUCCCGGGCCUUGUACACACCGCCCGUCACACCACGAGAGUUUGUAACACCCGAAGUCGGUGAG